AAAUCCGCUUUGAUAAUGCUGGGAUGUGAUGGGGAGCGAAAUUUAGUAGCGAAGUAGCUGAUUUCACACUGUCAAGAAAAGUCUCUAUCGAGGUUAAAGGUACCCGUACCGCAAACCGACACAGGUGGGUGAGGAGAGUAUCCUAAGGCCAGCGAGAGAACUGUUGUUAAGGAACUCGGCAAAAUGACCCCGUAACUUAGGGAUAAGGGGUGCCACCAUCAGGUGGCCGCAGAGAAUAGGCCCAAGCGACUGUUUACCAAAAACAUAGGUUUCUGCUAAGUCGCAAGACGAUGUAUAGGAGCUGACGCCUGCCCGGUGCUGGAAGGUUAAGGGGAUCUGUUAGAGCAAUCGAAGCAGUGAACUUAAGCCCCAGUAAACGGCGGCCGUAACUAUAACGGUCCUAAGGUAGCGAAAUUCCUUGUCGGGUAAGUUCCGACCCGCACGAAAGGCGUAACGAUUUGGGCACUGUCUCAACAACAGACUCGGUGAAAUUGUAAUUCCGGUGAAGAUGCCGGAUACCUGCGACAGGACGGAAAGACCCCAUGGAGCUUUACUGUAGCUUGACAUUGGGUCUUGGUACUACAUGUACAGGAUAGGUGGGAGGCUUUGAAACCAGGACGCCAGUUUUGGCGGAGCCAUCCUUGGGAUACCACCCUUGUAGUACUGGGACUCUAACCAUAGGCCAUGAAUCUGGUCUUGGGACACUGUCAGGUGGGCAGUUUGACUGGGGCGGUCGCCUCCCAAAAGGUAACGGAGGCGCUCAAAGGUUCUCUCAGUACGGUCGGAAAUCGUACGUAGAGUGUAAAGGCAAAAGAGAGCUUGAUUGCAAGACAUACAGGUCGAGCAAGGAUGAAAAUCGGACUUAGUGAUCCGGUGGUUCUGCGUGGAAG
RNAcentral lists this ribosomal RNA (890 nucleotides) under Clostridioides difficile. Its description in RNAcentral is "bacterial LSU rRNA". It matches the Rfam family "Bacterial large subunit ribosomal RNA", at positions 1538 to 2439 of the family's 2925-position model. The record is from RNAcentral. Lineage: Bacteria; Bacillati; Bacillota; Clostridia; Peptostreptococcales; Peptostreptococcaceae.